GAAAAUAAGUUUUCUUCAAUUUGAACUCCAUUUAAACUCAUUUUCACUUUGGUUUUUAGCUGUAGAUUCUUAAAAAUAUGGAAUACAUGUUAUUUAGAUAAAGUUAUGAUUUCACCCUUUUUUUUGAAAACCCAUUUUGGGGUCUAUUUUGACCUUGUCUCAAAAUAGGUAAUAUAAGUAUAGUUAGCUUUCUUUUGAUGUAUAGAUUCUAUAUUUCUAUAUUUUAGUUUAUUUCAG
RNAcentral lists this long non-coding RNA (237 nucleotides) under Capsicum annuum. Its description in RNAcentral is "long non-coding RNA (CANN_LNC000926)". Lineage: Eukaryota; Viridiplantae; Streptophyta; Magnoliopsida; Solanales; Solanaceae. The record is from RNAcentral.